CGGGUGAGUAACACGUGAGUAACCUACCCUUGACUUUGGGAUAACUUCAGGAAACUGGGGCUAAUACCGGAUAGGAGCUCCUGCUGCAUGGUGGGGGUUGGAAAGUUUCGGCGGUUGGGGAUGGACUCGCGGCUUAUCAGCUUGUUGGUGGGGUAGUGGCUUACCAAGGCUUUGACGGGUAGCCGGCCUGAGAGGGUGACCGGCCACAUUGGGACUGAGAUACGGCCCAG
Molecule: ribosomal RNA, 230 nt
Filed under: uncultured Actinomycetales bacterium
Lineage: Bacteria; Bacillati; Actinomycetota; Actinomycetes; Actinomycetales
Description: partial 16S ribosomal RNA
Rfam family: Bacterial small subunit ribosomal RNA
Source: RNAcentral